GAUGAACGCUGGCGGCGUGCCUAAUACAUGCAAGUCGAGCGAACGGACGAGAAGCUUGCUUCUCUGAUGUUAGCGGCGGACGGGUGAGUAACACGUGGAUAACCUACCUAUAAGACUGGGAUAACUUCGGGAAACCGGAGCUAAUACCGGAUAAUAUUUUGAACCGCAUGGUUCAAAAGUGAAAGACGGUCUUGCUGUCACUUAUAGAUGGAUCCGCGCUGCAUUAGCUAGUUGGUAAGGUAACGGCUUACCAAGGCAACGAUGCAUAGCCGACCUGAGAGGGUGAUCGGCCACACUGGAACUGAGACACGGUCCUGAGUACUACGGGAGGCAGCAGUAGGGAAUCUUCCGCAAUGGGCGAAAGCCUGACGGAGCAACGCCGCGUGAGUGAUGGAGGUCUUCGGAUCGUAAAACUCUGUUAUUAGGGAAGAACAUAUGUGUAAGUAACUGUGCACAUCUUGACGGUACCUAAUCAGAAAGCCACGGCUAACUACGUG
This 497-nucleotide ribosomal RNA is filed under the name uncultured bacterium. RNAcentral's name for it is "partial 16S ribosomal RNA". It matches the Rfam family "Bacterial small subunit ribosomal RNA", at positions 28 to 507 of the family's 1533-position model. The record is from RNAcentral.